This 446-nucleotide ribosomal RNA is filed under the name uncultured bacterium. RNAcentral's name for it is "partial 16S ribosomal RNA". It matches the Rfam family "Bacterial small subunit ribosomal RNA", at positions 338 to 795 of the family's 1533-position model. The record is from RNAcentral.
CCUACGGGGGGCAGCAGUCGAGAAUCAUUCACAAUGGGGGAAACCCUGAUGGUGCGACGCCGCGUGGGGGAAUGAAGGUCUUCGGAUUGUAAACCCCUGUCAUGUGGGAGCAAAUUAAAAAGAUAGUACCACAAGAGGAAGAGACGGUUAACUCUGUGCCAGCAGCCGCGGUAAUACAGAGGUCUCAAGCGUUGUUCGGAAUCACUGGGCGUAAAGCGUGCGUAGGCUGUUUCGUAAGUCGUGUGUGAAAGGCGCGGGCUCAACCCGCGGACGGCACAUGAUACUGCGAGACUAGAGUAAGGGAGGGGGAACCGGAAUUCUCGGUGUAGCAGUGAAAUGCGUAGAUAUCGGGAGGAACACUCGUGGCGAAGGCGGGUUCCUGGACAUUAACUGACGCUGAGGCACGAAGGCCAGGGGAGCGAAAGGGAUUAGAUACCCCUGUAGUC